RNAcentral lists this ribosomal RNA (551 nucleotides) under uncultured Gammaproteobacteria bacterium. Its description in RNAcentral is "bacterial SSU rRNA". It matches the Rfam family "Bacterial small subunit ribosomal RNA", at positions 70 to 616 of the family's 1533-position model. Lineage: Bacteria; Pseudomonadati; Pseudomonadota; Gammaproteobacteria. The record is from RNAcentral.
GAUACUAGCUUGCUAGUAGGCGUCGAGUGGCGGACGGGUGAGUAACGCGUAGGAAUCUACCUGAUAGUGGGGGGUAGCCCGAAGAAAUUCGGAUUAAUACCGCAUAAUCUAUUCGUAGUAAAGUGGGGGACUUUCGAGCCUCACGCUAUCAGAUGAGCCUGCGUAAGAUUAGCUAGUUGGCAGGGUAAAAGCCUACCAAGGCGACGAUCUUUAGCUGGUCUGAGAGGAUGAUCAGCCACAUCGGGACUGAGACACGGCCCGAACUCCUACGGGAGGCAGCAGUGGGGAAUAUUGGACAAUGGGGGCAACCCUGAUCCAGCAAUACCGCGUGUGUGAAGAAGGCCUGAGGGUUGUAAAGCACUUUCAAUUGUGAAGAAAAGCUAGUGGUUAAUAGCCAUUAGCCUUGACGUUAACUUUAGAAGAAGCACCGGCUAACUCCGUGCCAGCAGCCGCGGUAAUACGGAGGGUGCAAGCGUUAAUCGGAAUUACUGGGCGUAAAGCGUGCGUAGGCGGUUUAUUAAGUCAGAUGUGAAAGCCCCGGGCUUAACCUG